Molecule: ribosomal RNA, 1186 nt
Filed under: human gut metagenome
Description: bacterial SSU rRNA
Rfam family: Bacterial small subunit ribosomal RNA
Source: RNAcentral
AGAGUUUGAUCAUGGCUCAGAUUGAACGCUGGCGGCAGGCUUAACACAUGCAAGUCGAACGGUAACAUAAAGAAGCUUGCUUCUUUGAUGACGAGUGGCGGACGGGUGAGUAAUGCUUGGGAAUCUAGCUUAUGGAGGGGGAUAACUACGGGAAACUGUAGCUAAUACCGCGUAGAAUCGAGAGAUGAAAGUGUGGGACCUUCGGGCCACAUGCCAUAGGAUGAGCCCAAGUGGGAUUAGGUAGUUGGUGAGGUAAAGGCUCACCAAGCCGACGAUCUCUAGCUGGUCUGAGAGGAUGACCAGCCACACUGGGACUGAGACACGGCCCAGACUCCUACGGGAGGCAGCAGUGGGGAAUAUUGCGCAAUGGGGGCAACCCUGACGCAGCCAUGCCGCGUGAAUGAAGAAGGCCUUCGGGUUGUAAAGUUCUUUCGGUAGCGAGGAAGGCAUUUAGUUUAAUAGACUAGGUGAUUGACGUUAACUACAGAAGAAGCACCGGCUAACUCCGUGCCAGCAGCCGCGGUAAUACGGAGGGUGCGAGCGUUAAUCGGAAUAACUGGGCGUAAAGGGCACGCAGGCGGUACUGUAAGUGAGGUGUGAAAGCCCCGGGCUUAACCUGGGAAUUGCAUUUCAUACUGGGUCGCUAGAGUACUUUAGGGAGGGGUAGAAUUCCACGUGUAGCGGUGAAAUGCGUAGAGAUGUGGAGGAAUACCGAAGGCGAAGGCAGCCCCUUGGGAAUGUACUGACGCUCAUGUGCGAAAGCGUGGGGAGCAAACAGGAUUAGAUACCCUGGUAGUCCACGCUGUAAACGAUGUCGAUUUGGGGGUUGAGCUUUAAGCUUGGCGCCCGUAGCUAACGUGAUAAAUCGACCGCCUGGGGAGUACGGCCGCAAGGUUAAAACUCAAAUGAAUUGACGGGGGCCCGCACAAGCGGUGGAGCAUGUGGUUUAAUUCGAUGCAACGCGAAGAACCUUACCUGGUCUUGACAUCCACGGAAGUUUUCAGAGAUGAGAAUGUGCCUUCGGGAACCGUGAGACAGGUGCUGCAUGGCUGUCGUCAGCUCGUGUUGUGAAAUGUUGGGUUAAGUCCCGCAACGAGCGCAACCCUUAUCCUUUGUUGCCAGCGGUCCGGCCGGGAACUCAAAGGAGACUGCCAGUGAUAAACUGGAGGAAGGUGGGGAUGACGUC